RNAcentral lists this unclassified non-coding RNA (378 nucleotides) under uncultured Gammaproteobacteria bacterium. Its description in RNAcentral is "contains 16S-23S intergenic spacer region". The record is from RNAcentral. Lineage: Bacteria; Pseudomonadati; Pseudomonadota; Gammaproteobacteria.
UCCGGUUCUUCACCAGCAGUCUCCUUAGAGUCCCCGCCAUGACGCGCUGGUAACUAAGGAUAAGGGUUGCGCUCGUUACGGGACUUAACCCAACAUCUCACAACACGAGCUGACGACAGCCAUGCAGCACCUGUCUCUAGGUUCCUUGCGGCACUCCCGCAUCUCUGCAGGAUUCCUAGGAUGUCAAGGGUAGGUAAGGUUCUUCGCGUUGCAUCGAAUUAAACCACAUGCUCCACCGCUUGUGCGGGCCCCCGUCAAUUCCUUUGAGUUUUAACCUUGCGGUCGUACUCCCCAGGCGGAGAACUUAUCGCGUUAGCUUCGAUACUAAUAGGUCAUGCCUACCAACAUCUAGUUCUCAUCGUUUACAGCGUGGACUAC